CCCGAUUCACAGUCGUUGACGCUGAAAGGAAGAGAGACUAUUCUAUUCAGCUUUUUCGGGUGGGCGCUCCACUGCUGCAGACACGGUUCUACCCAUGUGGAUGAUAGGGAUUGUUGCAGCUGUCAUCAAUCCCCAAGAAUCAACCGGAUGCUAGAAAUGGCUGGUUUAAAAUAGUUGUAACUUCUAAUGGGAAAUUCACUUCCAUAUCCCUUUCCAAAUACUACAAGGAGUCAAUUUUGGUGCUGGAUAACUUGUUCAUUUGCUGAAUAUGCCAGCAGAUGAAUGUCAU
Molecule: long non-coding RNA, 289 nt
Organism: Argiope bruennichi
Lineage: Eukaryota; Metazoa; Arthropoda; Arachnida; Araneae; Araneidae
Exons: 3
Source: RefSeq, a predicted model, not a curated record